UACGUAGGGUGCGAGCGUUAAUCGGAAUUACUGGGCGUAAAGCGUGCGCAGGCGGUUUUGCAAGCCGGAUGUGAAAUCCCCGGGCUCAACCUGGGAAUGGCAUUCGGGACUGCAAGGCUGGAGUGCGGCAGAGGGAAGCGGAAUUUCCGGUGUAGCGGUGAAAUGCGUAGAUAUCGGAAGGAACACCAGUGGCGAAAGCGGCUUCCUGGUCCGACACCGACGUUCAGGCACGAAAGCGUGGGGAGCAAACAGG
This 253-nucleotide ribosomal RNA is filed under the name uncultured bacterium. Its description in RNAcentral is "partial 16S ribosomal RNA". It matches the Rfam family "Bacterial small subunit ribosomal RNA", at positions 524 to 776 of the family's 1533-position model. The record is from RNAcentral.